This 937-nucleotide ribosomal RNA is filed under the name Preussia sp. (in: ascomycete fungi). RNAcentral describes it as "Preussia sp. (in: Fungi) partial large subunit ribosomal RNA". It matches the Rfam family "Eukaryotic large subunit ribosomal RNA", at positions 23 to 978 of the family's 3401-position model. Lineage: Eukaryota; Fungi; Ascomycota; Dothideomycetes; Pleosporales; Sporormiaceae. The record is from RNAcentral.
ACCCGCUGAACUUAAGCAUAUCAAUAAGCGGAGGAAAAGAAACCAACAGGGAUUGCCCUAGUAACGGCGAGUGAAGCGGCAACAGCUCAAAUUUGAAAUCUGGCCCUUUCAGGGUCCGAGUUGUAAUUUGUAGAGGGUGCUUUGGCGUUGGCUGCGGUCUAAGUUCCUUGGAACAGGACGUCACAGAGGGUGAGAAUCCCGUACGUGGCUGACAGCCCUCGCCGUGUAAAGCCCCUUCGACGAGUCGAGUUGUUUGGGAAUGCAGCUCUAAAUGGGAGGUAAAUUUCUUCUAAAGCUAAAUACUGGCCAGAGACCGAUAGCGCACAAGUAGAGUGAUCGAAAGAUGAAAAGCACUUUGGAAAGAGAGUCAAAAAGCACGUGAAAUUGUUGAAAGGGAAGCGCUUGCAGCCAGACUUGCCUGUAGUUGCUCAUCCGGGCUUUUGCCCGGUGCACUCUUCUGCGGGCAGGCCAGCAUCAGUUCGGGCGGAUGGAUAAAGGCCUGCUAAAUGUACCUCUCCUCGGGGAGGACUUAUAGGGUAGGCGUCAUACAUCCAGCCUGGACUGAGGUCCGCGCAUCUGCUAGGAUGCUGGCGUAAUGGCUGUAAGCGGCCCGUCUUGAAACACGGACCAAGGAGUCUAACAUCUAUGCGAGUGUUUGGGUGUCAAGCCCGGGCGCGUAAUGAAAGUGAACGGAGGUGGGAACCCCUCGGGGCGCACCAUCGACCGAUCCUGAUGUCUUCGGAUGGAUUUGAGUAAGAGCAUAGCUGUUGGGACCCGAAAGAUGGUGAACUAUGCCUGAAUAGGGUGAAGCCAGAGGAAACUCUGGUGGAGGCUCGCAGCGGUUCUGACGUGCAAAUCGAUCGUCAAAUUUGGGCAUAGGGGCGAAAGACUAAUCGAACUAUCUAGUAGCUGGUUCCUGCCGAAGUUUCCCUCAGGA